Molecule: long non-coding RNA, 2130 nt
Organism: Frieseomelitta varia
Lineage: Eukaryota; Metazoa; Arthropoda; Insecta; Hymenoptera; Apidae
Exons: 3
Source: RefSeq, a predicted model, not a curated record
UCUCGUCACAUACGCUUCACAAUGAAGUUAACAAUUAAUUGGAAAUAAUUUAUUCGAUUUGGACACAAGAUAAACUUACUUUUCCUAUAUCAUUAAGCGAAAAGAUAAGUAUGGAUUAUAAUGAGUUUUUCGAAAUUUUGUCUAUUUCGAUGCCUGCUAUAUUUUUUCCCCUCAAACGCUUUAUUAUACUACUGAAAUGAGAAAUCGAGUCGUCGUUUCAAUUUUAAAACAAAUGAUAACAUUUUUUAAAAUGAUUUUUUAAUUUUAGUGACGUAAGGAAAAAAGUUGUAUUGAAAUAAACGAGAUUCGUCAAUGAAAAUAACAAAUUAAGAAAAUUAUUUAUUAUCUUUGUUAAUUGAAGGAGGCCUUCUUGCAAGUCAAAAAAAAUUCCAAGAAAUUCCUUCAACAAAAAUUAACUCCAAGUAAAACAGUUUGUUAACUCGAGAAGUCAGUUGAUCCGAUUUUCAAUUCUUCAUUUUCUGUUGAUUUGCUAAAAAUCACGCGUUGAAAUGUAUUACGCUAGUGAAAUGAAAUUUGUCCAACAUUAUUAAGAAUUAAUUGUCGAGUUGAUAAGAAGAGACGUUACGCCAGAGCGAUAACGAGGAGAGUGCAAAAUGGGAGGCUCCGGGAGUGAUGCCGGUCUGCACAGUGCGUGAUGACUGUUUCGCAAUGUGGCAGCCGUUUUAGAACGUCUCGCAAUCGACGACGACGAGGUAUCGAAAAGAGAAGAAAGAGGAUAGAACCGAACCAGGAGAUGACACGUGUUGCAAUUCUAGCAAAAGGGAGGAGUGGCUGUACACUGACCGGACGUUGACCGGUAAAAAUGCAACGCGAGGUCAUCGAGUAGUAAUGACUCGCAACAAAAAGAACAGACAUAUACUCUCGUAGACCUUGGCACGUAACGAGACGGUUGCCGUCCUUCGGAUAAUGAAACGAAAUCUUAGAUCAGUCGAGGGUAUAUUUGGAUGUAAAGAUUAACUCGGAUCCGACUUUUGCGUGGAAUUUGAAAAUUGAAAGUCAGAAGAACUUGGACAGUCGUUAUUGAAUGAAAACUUUCUCCAAAAAGGAAUUUUGUUUCACAAUGUGGAACGAUCUAGAUGAAGAAUAAUAAUUUCCUAUCGCACAUUAAUUUUUGUGUUACAGAUGCUUUUUAAUCCUCGAAUCUUUAUACUUUUUGUAUUAUUAUUGUAGAGCUCGUUAUUGAAAAUUGCUAUUAAUUUCCAGUUAUAAAUUUUACAAUAAUAAUACAAAAAAUAUAGAAUUAUCUAUCAGAAAAAGCCAAAUUUAUGUUUAAUCACUUAAAAACUUCACCUACUUCACAAAAAUCUGACAAAGGAUUACCCAUUCUUAUUAAUUUAUUAAGCUGUGUCAUGAUCAAAAUUGCAGGAAAUUUUUACAUUGUCGGGAAAAUGAAAAUGACAGGUUUGAUGAAACAUCCUUUUAACUAUAAGUAACUGUAAUUAUUAAUAUAUAGAUAUAUAAAUGUACGAUAUAAUUAUUGUAACAAGCUAACGUCUAAUUACAUCGUAUAAUAAUACAAUUACGAUAAUAAUAACAUUAUGUACAAUAAUACACAAGUAUAAUUGAUACAAGUUGUUAUUAUUCUUUCAUCAUUUCACAGCCGAGCAAUACAUCAAUUAAAAUUACCUUAGAAUCAUUCCAUAAGAAUGUUGCAUAAUUUCUACUCGCAGCCAGAUAAAAUCUGCAAGUUGCGCGUGAUUCACGUAUGUACAUAAGAAUACAAACUAUUGUGUCUCAAACGAUAUCUCUGAAAAUAUUUGCUUGAUAACAUUUUCCUUCUUUCUUUGUUCUUUUUUCUUUUUUAAGGCACAUGUAAUUGCAGACGCACAAUUAUUCAGGCCGCGAACGACCUCGACCCGCUUCUUUCUUCGUCUGGUUAUGCGCGAGACAGGCUGACCAUUAUCUUUAGCGUUCAGCUGGUUCAAGGUGGGAUAAAUCCUUUCUUUCUUUCUCGACGAACACCUUUCCACAUCCGACUAGCAACCGAAUUAACUUUUUGUUCAACAAAAUCGUAAUAUUUUCGCAGUUAUGAUUAAGUACACUUAAGUAAGACAAAAUAGACAAAACAAAUAAUAAGUUUAUUGCUUCCCGAUAAUUUCUAUCCGGUGA